UACGUAGGGUGCGAGCGUUGUCCGGAAUUAUUGGGCGUAAAGGGCUCGUAGGCGGCUUGGUAUGUCGGGUGUGAAAUCCCCGGGCUCAACCUGGGAACUGCACCCGAAACUGCCUUGCUAGAGUAUGGGAGAGGGAAGUGGAAUUUCCGGUGUAGCGGUGAAAUGCGUAGAUAUCGGAAGGAACAUCAGUGGCGAAGGCGGCUCUCUGGACCGGUACUGACGCUGAUCUGCGAAAGCCAGGGGAGCAAACGGG
This 253-nucleotide ribosomal RNA is filed under the name uncultured bacterium. Its description in RNAcentral is "partial 16S ribosomal RNA". It matches the Rfam family "Bacterial small subunit ribosomal RNA", at positions 524 to 776 of the family's 1533-position model. The record is from RNAcentral.